CACGUAGGGGCGAGCGUUAUCCGGAAUUACUGGGCGUAAAGGGUGCGUAGGUGGUUUCUUAAGUCAGAGGUGAAAGGCUACGGCUCAACCGUAGUAAGCUUUGGAACUGUAAGACUUGAGUGCAGGAGAGGAGAGUGGAAUUCCUAGUGUAGCGGUGAAAUGCGUAGAUAUUAGGAGGAACACCAGUAGCGAAGGCGGCUCUCUGGACUGUAACUGACGCUGAGGCACGAAAGCGUGGGGAGCAAACAGGAUUAGAUACCCGCGUAGUCCCUGAG
This 275-nucleotide ribosomal RNA is filed under the name uncultured prokaryote. RNAcentral's name for it is "partial 16S ribosomal RNA". It matches the Rfam family "Bacterial small subunit ribosomal RNA", at positions 524 to 801 of the family's 1533-position model. The record is from RNAcentral.